This 234-nucleotide long non-coding RNA is filed under the name Elaeis guineensis (African oil palm). RNAcentral's name for it is "long non-coding RNA (EGUI_LNC023496)". Lineage: Eukaryota; Viridiplantae; Streptophyta; Magnoliopsida; Arecales; Arecaceae. The record is from RNAcentral.
CAACAACUUGGAUAGGAUAGAAUAACAAUAGAUUUAGUUAGAAUCAAAUUCAAACAAAGCUUUAUCCUUGUCAUAAUUCGAAUUCAAAUCAAAUUUGAAUUCAACUUGAACCAAACUCUUUGCCAUUCAAAUGGGCAUUGAGAAGGGAUGAGAAAAACUAUGGGCAUGAGAAAAAUUCACACAAAAUCUGAGUUUGUGUGAAUACAAAUGGGGCAUGGAGAUGAGGUGGCACAA